This is a small nucleolar RNA of Macadamia integrifolia, 141 nucleotides long. RefSeq annotates it as small nucleolar RNA snoR134. The record is from RefSeq and is a predicted model, not a curated record. Lineage: Eukaryota; Viridiplantae; Streptophyta; Magnoliopsida; Proteales; Proteaceae. The transcript has a single exon.
CUGCACGGUGCACCCCGGGCUUCUCCGAAUCAUCGUUGACGAUGAAAGCCCCAUUGCGCGUGCUAAAGUGUGCCAUUCAGUGUUGCAGUUUAGCUUCGAUUUCUUCAACAGCUGUUCUGUGUCAAAGUAAUGGAUACAUCU